AAGUUGCCUAGACACUGUUCUAGGCACUGUGGAGGUAGCCACAACAGAGCAAGCCUCCCGCCUGGUGGAACUGACAUCUCCAAGGAGACAGAGAGUAAAGCUCAGAACACAUUGGGAACCAAUCAGCACAUGGAGAAAAACAUCACACAAGGAAGAAGGUGAGGACAUAGCAAGAAGGUGGCCAUCAGCAAGCCAGGCAGCAAGUCCUUACCAGGAACCAAAUUGGCUAGUACCUUGGACUUCCAGCCUCCAGAACUGUGAGAAGUAAAUAGCCACCCAGACUACGGUAUUUUAUUAUAACAGCCUGAACUGGCUAUGACAACAGGUUUCUGUAGGACCGGCAUGGCCUCUUUCUCCAGGCCAACCUUUGUCCCCACCCAUCCACCUCUGACACUCUGAUCACAGUAGCAUCAUUGUGUUUCUGCAAACUCCCUCUCCUGGGUUUUGAUAAACAUUGUUUCCUCUGCGAUAGACAAAAUGAUGGCCCUCAAAAAUGUCUAUGUCACAAUCCCCCAAACCCAUGAAUAUGUUACUUGAUAUGAAAAAGGGACCUGGCAAGUGUUAUUAAGUUAAGGAUCCUGAGGUGGGAAGGUUAGCUUGGAAUAAGCAGGUGGGCCCAGAGUGAUCACAAGAGUCCAUACAAGGAAGGGAGGAGGUUCAGAGUCAGAGGGAAAGAGAGGUGACCACAAAGUAAAGCUUAGAGUGAUGGCAUUGCCGGAAGAGGGCCAGGAGCCAAGGCAUGUGGCAAUGGGCUCUAGAAUCUGGAAAAGGCACUUCUGCCUAGAGCCUUCAAAAGGAGUGAAGCCAUUCCAUUUUAGACUUCCGAACUCCAGAGCUGUAAGAUAAAAAAUGGUGUUUAUUUAUGUCACUGUGGUCAUUUGUUACAGCAGCAAUAAGAAACUAAUAGUGUCUUCCCACUUCCCUCUUAUCGAACCUUCAGAUGUUGAUUCUAAUAACCCUUCCUCAGAGAGGGGAGUAUCACUUCCUUAAGCACUUUGACCACAAACUCAAAGAAAUGCUCCUGUUACAUUUUCACAGCACCCCAUGCUUUUCCUGCAUAACACUAAGCACUUUUGGCUUAUUUGAUUACCAGCUGUGUAAUCCCCCAGAUUCCAGCUUCUGUUUUUUUCUCGCCAUUAUAUGCCCAGCAUCUCACACAGUAAUAUUGCAAACAUUCAAUAAAUAGUUGUUUAAAGAAUAAAUGAAUGAAGUAAUAAAUUAAUAUAGGAUGUGAAAAUGAUUUCAUGGCUCUAAAAGAGACACAUGAAUAUUAUUGCUAUAAUUAAUAUUCAGCUGCUUAGACCUCCAAAUAAAAAUCAAUGCUGUAUAUAAAAGGCAUCAUAAUUAUCUAUGAAGCAUUAUUCCUAUAUUAAAAAAUAUUAUAAACAGCUACUAGUUAAUAAGAAACUAGAGGCUCAUUUCUAUCUCAUUUUCAUCCUUCUGUCUAUUUUUAAAAAAUUUUAUUGGAGGGUAGUUGAUUUACAAUGUUUUGUUAGUUUCAGGUGUACAGCAAAGUGAUUCAUAUUACAUACCCAUUCUUUUUCAGUUUCUUUGCACAUAUAGGUUAUUAUAGAAUAUUGAGUAGACCUCCCUGUGCUAUAUAGCAAGUCCUUGUUGGUUAUCUAUUUUAUAUAUAGUAGUGUGUAUAAAUUAACCCCAAACUCCUAAUUUAUCCCCCCUCCUUUCCCCUUUGAUAACCAUAACUUUGAUUUUGAAAUCUGUGUGCUGAGCAAUAUUCUAUAAUGUAUGUGUUUAUUAAGUCAUGUCUUUCUCUUGUUUCUGCCAGAUCACAUAUAUGAAAACUACCUUAAAAAGGAAAUUGGGGAGUUCCCGUCGUGG
This 1839-nucleotide long non-coding RNA is filed under the name Sus scrofa (pig). Its description in RNAcentral is "lncRNA (ENSSSCG00015026562.1)". The record is from RNAcentral. Lineage: Eukaryota; Metazoa; Chordata; Mammalia; Artiodactyla; Suidae.